GAUGAACGCUAGCGACAGGCCUAACACAUGCAAGUCGAGGGGCAGCAUGAAAGUAGCUUGCUACUUUUGAUGGCGACCGGCGCACGGGUGCGUAACAGGUGUGCAAUCUGUCCAUAAUCGGGGAAUAGCCCAGCGAAAGUUGGAUUAAUGCUCCAUGUGAGCCGAGGAGGCAUCUCUUUGGUUUGAAACGUAAGGAUUAUGGGUGAGCACGCUUCUGAUUAGGUAGUUGGUGAGGUAACGGCUCACCAAGCCGACGAUCAGUAGGGGUUCUGAGAGGAAGGUCCCCCACAUUGGAACUGAGACACGGUCCAAACUCCUACGGGAGGCAGCAGUGAGGAAUAUUGGUCAAUGGACGAAAGUCUGAACCAGCCAAGUCGCGUGAAGGAUGAAGGUUCUAUGGAUUGUAAACUUCUUUGUUCGGGAAUAAAGUUCAGUAUGUAUACUGUUUUGUAUGUACCGUUCGAAUAAGCAUCGGCUAAUUCCGUGCCAG
RNAcentral lists this ribosomal RNA (490 nucleotides) under uncultured bacterium. Its description in RNAcentral is "bacterial SSU rRNA". It matches the Rfam family "Bacterial small subunit ribosomal RNA", at positions 28 to 511 of the family's 1533-position model. The record is from RNAcentral.